RNAcentral lists this ribosomal RNA (429 nucleotides) under Bacteroidota bacterium. Its description in RNAcentral is "Bacteroidetes bacterium partial 16S ribosomal RNA". It matches the Rfam family "Bacterial small subunit ribosomal RNA", at positions 355 to 776 of the family's 1533-position model. The record is from RNAcentral. Lineage: Bacteria; Pseudomonadati; Bacteroidota.
UAGGGAAUCUUCCGCAAUGGACGCAAGUCUGACGGAGCAACGCCGCGUGAGUGAAGAAGGAUUUCGGUUCGUAAAACUCUGUUGUUAGAGAAGAACAGCGCAUAGAGUAACUGUUAUGCGUGUGACGGUAUCUAACCAGAAAGCCACGGCUAACUACGUGCCAGCAGCCGCGGUAAUACGUAGGUGGCAAGCGUUGUCCGGAUUUAUUGGGCGUAAAGCGAGCGCAGGCGGUCAAUUAAGUCUGAUGUGAAAGCCCCCGGCUAAACCGGGGAGGGUCAUUGGAAACUGGUUGACUUGAGUGCAGAAGAGGAGAGUGGAAUUCCAUGUGUAGCGGUGAAAUGCGUAGAUAUAUGGAGGAACACCGGUGGCGAAGGCGACUCUCUGGUCUGUAACUGACGACGAGGCUCGAAAGCGUGGGUAGCAAACAGG